This is a long non-coding RNA of Penaeus chinensis, 276 nucleotides long. RefSeq lists it as uncharacterized. The transcript has 3 exons. The record is from RefSeq and is a predicted model, not a curated record. NCBI's taxonomy places the organism in Eukaryota, Metazoa, Arthropoda, Malacostraca, Decapoda, Penaeidae.
AUCCCGCUGAACACAGAAAACGUGCCAUAAUAUUGGUAACGCUGGUCAGGUGUCAAGUGUCAAGAGUUUGUUUUGGUUUUACGUUAGUACGCGUUUGUGUCAAGUUCCAGGUUGCAUUGAUACUGCAGUUUGAAUAGUCAGGAUGUUGUCGAGUAUGGUAAAAGAGCAACAGACAAGACAGCAGAAUCGGAAGGAAGAACAAGAAAGGCGAAGAAAGGAGGCUGUCCAGGCUAGCAGCAAUCUAACCCAGGCUCUGGUUGAUCAUCUUAAUGUUGG